Molecule: ribosomal RNA, 549 nt
Filed under: uncultured bacterium
Lineage: Bacteria
Description: bacterial SSU rRNA
Rfam family: Bacterial small subunit ribosomal RNA
Source: RNAcentral
UGGGGAAUAUUGGACAAUGGGCGAAAGCCUGAUCCAGCCAUGCCGCGUGUGUGAAGAAGGUCUUCGGAUUGUAAAGCACUUUAAGUUGGGAGGAAGGGUAGUAACUUAAUACGUUGCUACUUUGACGUUACCGACAGAAUAAGCACCGGCUAACUUCGUGCCAGCAGCCGCGGUAAUACGAAGGGUGCAAGCGUUAAUCGGAAUUACUGGGCGUAAAGCGCGCGUAGGUGGUUCAGUAAGUUGGAUGUGAAAUCCCCGGGCUCAACCUGGGAACUGCAUCCAAAACUGCUGAGCUAGAGUACGGUAGAGGGUAGUGGAAUUUCCUGUGUAGCGGUGAAAUGCGUAGAUAUAGGAAGGAACACCAGUGGCGAAGGCGACUACCUGGACUGGUACUGACACUGAGGUGCGAAAGCGUGGGGAGCAAACAGGAUUAGAUACCCUGGUAGUCCACGCCGUAAACGAUGUCAACUAGCCGCUGGGAGUCUUGAACUCUUAGUGGCGCAGCUAACGCAUUAAGUUGACCGCCUGGGGAGUACGGCCGCAAGGUUA